RNAcentral lists this ribosomal RNA (424 nucleotides) under uncultured cyanobacterium. RNAcentral describes it as "bacterial SSU rRNA". It matches the Rfam family "Bacterial small subunit ribosomal RNA", at positions 356 to 795 of the family's 1533-position model. Lineage: Bacteria; Bacillati; Cyanobacteriota. The record is from RNAcentral.
GGGGAAUUUUCCGCAAUGGGCGAAAGCCUGACGGAGCAAGACCGCGUGGGGGAUGAAGGUUUGUGGAUUGUAAACCCCUUUUGAUUGGGAAGAAUACUGACGGUACCAAUCGAAUAAGCCUCGGCUAACUCCGUGCCAGCAGCCGCGGUAAUACGGAGGAGGCAAGCGUUAUCCGGAAUUAUUGGGCGUAAAGCGUCCGUAGGUGGUUUAGUAAGUCUGCUGUUAAAGCGCGGGGCUUAACUCCGUAUCGGCAGUGGAAACUACUAGACUAGAGUGUGGUAGGGGUAGAGGGAAUUCCCAGUGUAGCGGUGAAAUGCGUAGAUAUUGGGAAGAACACCGGUGGCGAAAGCGCUACUACUGGGCCAUAACUGACACUGAUGGACGAAAGCUAGGGGAGCGAAAGGGAUUAGAUACCCCUGUAGUC